This 498-nucleotide ribosomal RNA is filed under the name uncultured Vampirovibrio sp. RNAcentral describes it as "partial 16S ribosomal RNA". It matches the Rfam family "Bacterial small subunit ribosomal RNA", at positions 894 to 1397 of the family's 1533-position model. The record is from RNAcentral. Lineage: Bacteria; Bacillati; Candidatus Melainabacteria; Vampirovibriophyceae; Vampirovibrionales; Vampirovibrionaceae.
GUAAAUCUCAAAGGAAUUGNCGUGGNCCNGCNCAAGCGGUGGAGUANCUGGGANANUUCGAUGCAACGNGAAGAACCUUCCCUCAGAUUUUCAUGUCGAGAANNAUCGGAAAGGGAAGAGAGCCUUCGGGAGCGCAACACAGGUGGUGCAUCAGGUCGUCAGCAUGUGUCAAAAGAUGUUGGGUUAAGUCCCGCAACGAGUGCAACCCACGUUUCUAUUUGCCAUCAUUAAGUCAUCCUCUCUAGCCAGACUGCCGUUGACAAACCGGAGGAAGGUGUGGANUCNGUCAAGUCAGCAUGCCCCGAGNUCAUUGGCAUACACAAUAGUUUCACUUCUACGGACAUAGGGAAGUUACCUCGCGAGGGGGUGCAAAUCUCGUAAACCGUGGCACAUUUCAGAUUGCAGGUUGCAACUCGCCUGCAAAAGGCGGAAUGGCUAGUAACGACAGGCCAGCAUAAGCAGGUGAAUCCGUUCCCGGCCUGAGCCCACACCGCCCGC